This 584-nucleotide ribosomal RNA is filed under the name uncultured bacterium. RNAcentral describes it as "partial 16S ribosomal RNA". It matches the Rfam family "Bacterial small subunit ribosomal RNA", at positions 355 to 1375 of the family's 1533-position model. The record is from RNAcentral.
UGGGGAAUUUUGGACAAUGGGCGAAAGCCUGAUCCAGCAAUGCCGCGUGUGUGAAGAAGGCCUUCGGGUUGUAAAGCACUUUUGUCCGGAAAGAAAUCCUCUGGGUUAAUACCUCGGGGGGAUGACGGUACCGGAAGAAUAAGCACCGGCUAACUACGUGCCAGCAGCCGCGGUAAUACGUAGGGUGCAAGCGUUAAUCGGAAUUACUGGGCGUAAAGCGUGCGCAGGCGGUUUUGUAAGACGGAUGUGAAAUCCCCCGGGCUUAACCUGGGAGCUGCAUUCGUGACUGCAAGGCUAGAGUAUGGCAGAGGGGGGUAGAAUUCCACGUGUAGCAGUGAAAUGCGUAGAGAUGUGGAGGAAUACCGAUGGCGAAGGCAGCCCCCUGGGCCAAUACUGACGCUCAUGCACGAAAGCGUGGGGAGCAAACAGGAUUAGAUACCCUGGUAGUCCACGCCCUAAACGAUGUCAACUAGUUGUUGGGGAUUCAUUCCUUAGUAACGUAGCUAACGCGUGAAGUUGACCGCCUGGGGAGUACGGUCGCAAGAUUAAAACUUAAUGAAUUGACGGGGUCAUAGCUGUUUCCU